AAAAACGGUAUUUCCGAAUCAAACUGUCUAAAUAAAUGUAAAAAUAUAUAUAAAAGCGGGAAACUUCGAAUGAAAUAGAAAGUGAGUUAGAUUAGACCACUCCACUCCUUUCUCACCCGCAGCCAUUACUAGUUACUUUUUUUUGUUAGGUAUCACAGCAAGCCGGUUCUCUUUCUCAUUAUCUAGGGUUUGAAAUCUCAGGAUACACACAAGGAUGAAGGAGUAACCAUGGACGAUGUUAGGGCCAGCUCUGCUUGGGUUGCCAGUCACUCUUCUCAUGUCGUUGUCGACUCUUCAGGGAUAGAAAAAGUGGUGCAGACAAUCGAUUCGAUUCCGAAAAAGAAAUGGGAUUUUGAAGGGAUUCACUAUUUUGAUAAUGGGCCUCUCACUGUCCAGUAUCUCUUGGCUUAGCUGCAAUCCCAUCCUUGUCCACUAUUCUUAUUGGUCCACUAAGAUAAUGAGC
This is a long non-coding RNA of Humulus lupulus (European hop), 463 nucleotides long. RefSeq lists it as uncharacterized. NCBI's taxonomy places the organism in Eukaryota, Viridiplantae, Streptophyta, Magnoliopsida, Rosales, Cannabaceae. The transcript is spliced from 2 exons. The record is from RefSeq and is a predicted model, not a curated record.